RNAcentral lists this small RNA (27 nucleotides) under Bombyx mori (domestic silkworm). RNAcentral's name for it is "ovarian small RNA-23311". The record is from RNAcentral. Lineage: Eukaryota; Metazoa; Arthropoda; Insecta; Lepidoptera; Bombycidae.
UAUACCAGGGCCAGGGCGGAUGUCCUC